ACACCCUUAGUUCAACUGGAUAGAACACAUGCCUUCUAAGCUUGCAAUACAGGUUCAAGCCCUGUAGGGUGUA
This 73-nucleotide transfer RNA is filed under the name Enterobacter sp. Its description in RNAcentral is "tRNA-Arg". It matches the Rfam family "tRNA". Rfam says of the family: Transfer RNA (tRNA) molecules are approximately 80 nucleotides in length. Their secondary structure includes four short double-helical elements and three loops (D, anti-codon, and T loops). The record is from RNAcentral. RNAcentral also lists the same sequence under 1 other name. Lineage: Bacteria; Pseudomonadati; Pseudomonadota; Gammaproteobacteria; Enterobacterales; Enterobacteriaceae.